UACGGGGGGGGCAAGCGUUGUUCGGAAUUACUGGGCGUAAAGGGCUCGUAGGCGGCCAACUAAGUCAGACGUGAAAUCCCUCGGCUUAACCGGGGAACUGCGUCUGAUACUGGAUGGCUUGAGUUCGGGAGAGGGAUGCGGAAUUCCAGGUGUAGCGGUGAAAUGCGUAGAUAUCUGGAGGAACACCGGUGGCGAAGGCGGCAUCCUGGACCGAUACUGACGCUGAGGAGCGAAAGCAUGGGGAGCGAACAGGG
This 254-nucleotide ribosomal RNA is filed under the name uncultured bacterium. Its description in RNAcentral is "partial 16S ribosomal RNA". It matches the Rfam family "Bacterial small subunit ribosomal RNA", at positions 524 to 777 of the family's 1533-position model. The record is from RNAcentral.